UUAACCAAGAAAUGGGCAUCUUCU
RNAcentral lists this non-coding RNA (24 nucleotides) under Rattus norvegicus (Norway rat). Lineage: Eukaryota; Metazoa; Chordata; Mammalia; Rodentia; Muridae. The record is from RNAcentral.